This 338-nucleotide unclassified non-coding RNA is filed under the name soil metagenome. Its description in RNAcentral is "partial contains 5.8S ribosomal RNA, internal transcribed spacer 2, and large subunit ribosomal RNA". The stretch from base 1 to 120 matches the Rfam family "5.8S ribosomal RNA", at positions 35 to 154 of the family's 154-position model. The record is from RNAcentral.
GAUGAAGAACGUAGCGAAAUGCGAUACGUAGUGUGAAUUGCAGAAUUCAGUGAAUCAUCGAAUCUUUGAACGCACAUUGCACCUCUCGGUAUUCCGGGAGGUAUGUCUGUUCGAGCGUCAUUUGUACCCUCAAGCUCUGCUUGGUGUUGGGUGUUUGUUCCGCCUCUGUGUGUGAACUCGCCUCAAAACAAUUGGCAGCCGGCGUACUUGUUUCGGAGCGCAGCACAUUUUGCGAUCCAGAUCAACGUACAGCGGCAUCCAAGAAGCCUUAUUUAACGCUCUUGACCUCGGAUCAGGUAGGGAUACCCGCUGAACUUAAGCAUAUCAAUAAGCGGAGA